CGCAGGCACGGAGGCGAGGCCGCAGCAGCUCUCCUGUCGCUGUGACAGAGAGCAGUGACAUAGAGGUGGAAGAAGGCCCCACAGCUGUACGGGGGAAAUUCCACACAGUCAUCGACUUUCCACCUGAAAGACCAAGUCCACCCAGCAAGAUAAAGGAAUCACCAGCUGGCUGUUGGUGUUCCUGCUUCAGCCUGGGGAAACCAUCGUCUGGGGCCAAACGCCAGCCACAGCACCAUCCCAGGGAGCCCUCAGAAAUAGAAAUCGUAGUGCUGGCAGAUGAACUGAGCCCUUGUCCACCCAGAAGAGCUGGAGAAAGUAGCGAAGCUGGGCUGUGUGCUUCCACCAAUGGAGAGCUCUUGGGAAGCACAAAUGGCUGCGGAUCACGUGACAGCCUUGCACGUAACAACAGUGAUGGAGAGAGGGAGCUCAUCCAAGUUGAAGCCCUCAUUUCUCCCGGCUGUGCUGAAGAUGCUGACCUGUGCCCACCAGGCACCGCAGUCACCAGCCUGGACUGUGACCCGGCACCUUUGCAGUGCAGCCCAGCCCAAGUACAGUCCGAGUGCCCCGACAGCAACACCUCUGUGCAGGAGCAGGUCAGCAUCACCGAGG
Molecule: long non-coding RNA, 609 nt
Organism: Tympanuchus pallidicinctus (lesser prairie-chicken)
Lineage: Eukaryota; Metazoa; Chordata; Aves; Galliformes; Phasianidae
Exons: 3
Source: RefSeq, a predicted model, not a curated record